Molecule: long non-coding RNA, 695 nt
Filed under: Homo sapiens (human)
Lineage: Eukaryota; Metazoa; Chordata; Mammalia; Primates; Hominidae
Description: non-protein coding lnc-KIAA0513-3:1
Source: RNAcentral
AGGUUCAAGUGAUUCUCCUGCCUCAGCCUACCCAGUAGGCAGGAUUAUAGGCACGCGCCACCAUGCCCAGCUAAUGUUUUGUAUCUUUAGUAGAGAUGGGGUUUCACCAUGUUGGCCAGGCUGGUCUUGAACUCCUGACCUUGUGAUCCGCCCACCUUGCCCUCCCAAAGUGCUGGGAUUAAAGGCGUGAGCCACGGUGCCCGGACAGAAUAUUUUUAAAUAUUGAUUUAGCCAUCCAAUAACUUUACUGCUUCUCCUACCUCCUUCCCGUGUCCUUUGUACAAUGUCAUGAGAUAUGUCGGCAGAGGCUCCAUCCUGGAUAUCUGUAGCUUUUCCCUGCCUAUCCAGAAACGACCCUCCUUGUUCUGGCCAGACCACCUCAGUUUCCUCAGAAGAGCCUCUGUUCCCUUGCUCUCCACUCAAGUAGUAUGAGUGGGGCUGACCCCUACUCCUGUGCAGAUCUGAUCAAUCCAGUUAUUCCAACAAUCUGGCCUCAGAGAUUGGUUCCAGGGGAUGAACACACAGGUGCAUCAGUCCAUUCAGAACAAAUCCUGGGGCUUUUGCUGAAAGUAUUGAAAGAGAAGAUCCUUUUUUCCAUGGGGGCUGCUAAGCUGAGACAAUAUAAGCCUAGAGCUCUUGGAGGACACUCUGUAAAAAGAACCUAAUCUGAGGCCAGGCGUGGUGGCUCACGCCUG